This 3586-nucleotide long non-coding RNA is filed under the name Homo sapiens (human). RNAcentral's name for it is "HSALNT0339758". The record is from RNAcentral. Lineage: Eukaryota; Metazoa; Chordata; Mammalia; Primates; Hominidae.
CUCUUUGUUCCUACCCUCUGCUAUGAGAAGAGUGUUCCAGAGAGGGGCUGCUCCUCCAGCCUACAUCCUGGGAUGGAAAGAAAUGUGGAGCUCAGCAGAGCCCAAAGCAAGCCAGAGCUGACCUACAGAACUGGAAACCAGAAGUAAUGUCAGGAGAGGCUUUCCCAUCUGAAAGAUAAUGAAACACCUGCUAUUCCUGAGGAGUCCACUAGAGGAUGAGACUCAUCCAGCCAUCCAACCGAGAGAUAAGUGGGGAAACUUUGGCAAAAGGACUGUUGUCAACGUUGAAGUCAAGAUGGCAAAGCAAGAAUCCCCUCUGAUUGCAAGAAAUUGUCAGAAGAAGCUAUCCAGUCCUCUGAUUGUGGGAAUCUGCACCGAGCUGGCUACAGCUCUACAAAGAUGAGAUUUCCAGAAAGAAUGCUGCCAAUCGCCAGAGGCAGACAUGUUUAUCAGGCUGUGUAUCUUGAAGUCUGACAGAAAAUCUGUGGCCUUUGGUACAGCUGAAAAACACUCUGUCAACACCAUGGAGAGUGCAAGCCCGUUGUGCUGGCCUCAACCCAAGGAGUGCAGGGGAAUGGACAAAAAUUUGACUCAAGGCCAAAAAUUACAAGAGGAGGGAAAGUCAGACUUGAGGCAAACAAGCCUUUUCCAUCGGGUCUGUUUAAUAUCUCGUGUAAGCAUCCAAACCACAAAUCGGUCAGUGCUUAGGUGAAAAGACAAGUUUUUCUCCCUUUUGGAAAGCUAUUUUGCUUAAGCUCCUAUGAAUACAUCAAUUAUAUUAGCCCUGAGAGUGUCUGUCAGUGCAAUGUUAAAAGGUCCACUAUUUUUCAGACUGCCCACAUCAGAAACAAAAUACCCUUCAAACUCUCUGCCCUGAAUUGCUUGGGCCAAAGAGAGCUUGAGAGAAAAAGGCAUAAACUCCACAACAUUGACAGUGAGAAGAGCCACUGGUUUUAAGUAAAUUGUAGUCAUAUUUAUCAGCUUAAUAAAAUCCCCCCAGCACUCGUGUGCCAUCAAAUUCUUCAAUUUCAAAUUCAGGAAAAAUGGCUCUUUUGUGACAGAAGGUAUAAGGCCAAAGGGCAGGUUGUCAGCGAGACCGCCUCCCCUGCAGGCCAGUUGGGCUUGGAGCUUUGGGAAGGCAAGUUUGCAAGAGCCUAGGCCUGUUGCAGAAAUACUCUGUCCUCAGCUUUUCCUUCAGGGCCAGGUCCCUGGAUUCUUGGAUAAGACAUUUACAAUAUGCGGGCACCACACUGAAUCAGGACUGUGUGCAGAGAAGCAAACCAGGCCUUUCCACAUAGAUAGGAAAAAAUAAUCAUAACAGUUCAUGGUUAUGCAGCUUCCAGUGGACUCCAUUGUUACCUGGUAAUCAUCAGUCAAUUGCCAUCACCCUUAACCUUAAAGGUGUCACUUUCGUACUUCAGGUAUUCUUUCCAAAGUCCCUCUACCCCUUCUUCUCCCUGUCUUAUCUGUCCCUGAUCUCUGCCACCCUCAGUUGCUUACAUUGGCCAACCAGCCUGAAAUGGGAGAGGUUGAAUCCUUCAUGCUAUGUGCAUAGCCAACAUUCCACAAGAUUUAUGUCACUAAAGCCUGUGAAAAUGACAAAUGGUGAGAAAGAGGGCCAAAAAGGGAAGCAAAAAUAAAUCCAACUACGAUUUAACAAAGGGCGGCCCAGUAUCUGUACCUAGUGGGUACUGUGAUAUCUUGAGGGACAUGAAUUUAACAAGAGAAAUAAACUGCUGUAUGAGGAUCUUUAAAAUGCUCUUGUUUUCCAUUCAAAUUCUCUUUAGUAAAGUUGCUUUUUGCCCUGAAGUCAUAAUCCAAUUGUGUCAACGUGGUAAUUAAACAUCUGGAUUGAUUAGGUGGGGAAAGGGAGAUUAUUUUCUAAGAUAUUUUUUCUAAAAAAUAAGCUUAAGAGUAGAAGGGCUCUGGUUUCCCGGAGCUGUCUAGAGUCAUGGAAGGAAGGCCGCCAAUAUGAGGGAUGAGGAUGGCCACACAGUAGGGUGACUUUUCAAUAAAAUAACUUUUUUGUUCUUGUCACAUUUAGUGAGCUUACUGCAACUACUACCCUACCAAAGUCACUGACUUCAGUAAACCAUGGCUCAGCCAUAUGAUGAAUCAUCCAGAUGAUCAAAAUUAUUCUUAUGAAGAGCUUUUAACAACAAAUACAGAUACUUGUGAUAUAACACUGUGAACAAAAGCAAGAUAUACAAGGGCAUUUGCAGUAUAAUGACAACUAUGAAACCGAUCCACAUACGAGAACAGCAAUACUCCAAAACUUCAAAAGGUGAUUAGCUAUAGAUGGUGGGAUUCUAGAUGAUUUUUGUUAUUUUCUAGACCUUGUAUUGAGUAUUCUAUAGUAAGUAUGGAUUCAUUUUUAUAAUUAAAAAUAUAUUUUUAAAUGGAAUAAAAUCUAUAAAAGGCAUCACCUACUUCUUUCAAAGGUCACAUAUUCCUUAAUCAUGGCUUGAAGCCUCAGAGCUAAAAUGGCAGUGUUCAAAAUAUACAUCUGCUUUAGAACCUAUUUUCUUCAAUCUUUCCUAUGAUACUUAAAAUUUCAUAGACCUUCACAGAAAUGUGGGAGGAAAUCUGUUAGUGACUUUGUACACGCACCCAGAUGAUCUGGAACUGGUACUCUCCAGUGAAGCAGCCACUGGUCACUGAGGCUACCAAGCACUCGAAAUGUGUCUGGUCCAAGCUGAGAUGAGCUCUGAGAAUGAAAUACACACCAGCUAUUGAAUAUAUGGGAAGGGGCAAAAAAUGUAAAAUAUCUCAAUACUAACUUUAUAUUGAUUACAUGUUGAAGUGAUAUUUUUGAGAUAUUGCAUUUAAUGAAAAAUACUAUUAAAUAAUUUCACCUUUUUUUUAAUGUGUAAUAUAAUGUAAUAUGUAAAAUGAGCUAUGUAGCUCACAUUAGCGCUCUUUUGGACUGAAAUACUCUAGAAAAAAAUUCUGCAGAAGUGUGCUUCGAUUAUCCAUCUAUCAUCUUUCAGAAACAUGCAGGAUCUGAAUACACACAGAUUGCUUGCCCAAGCCAGAUCUAUGGCCCCCAGUAAAAUGUAUUCUCCUGCCCCUCUUCCAAGUUGUAUCACACUUUUAGUGGUCAGACAAUUUCAGUUAUUUCCAAGCGCAGACGAAUUGAGGCCAGUUCGAUGAACAGCACUUACAGGCUGCACCUAACAGCCGUCUUGCCUUUCUUCAGACUGACACGGCCCACAGAGCUCAGAAUUCUCUAACUCCCUAACAUCUGCCUCUGUUCCCAUGGAUUCACUCACACAUCUGUGUAACACUUCAUUCAAAGGACACAGUCCCCAUUUGAGACAGCCUCAAAUAUUCACAGCUCCCAAAAGGCUGUGCCAAAGAAACUUCCUCCGUGUAGCUGUAGGCCAUCUCUCAAAGUGCCCUUGGUGUGAGGGGACUGAAAAUUAUUGCUCUUCAAAAGGGCAGGGGAAAAUGAAAGGAAGGAUUAUAUCUGCCUGAACUGCCAAACCAAACUCUGAGAAGCAGAUUCUCCAGAGAGUGACUCAGGCCCACAUGAUGUUUGUUGGGGAUGAUGUUUUCACUGGGAGGCGAAGUGUGCAUUUGCUUA